RNAcentral lists this long non-coding RNA (334 nucleotides) under Gossypium barbadense (sea-island cotton). RNAcentral's name for it is "long non-coding RNA (GBAR_LNC016046)". Lineage: Eukaryota; Viridiplantae; Streptophyta; Magnoliopsida; Malvales; Malvaceae. The record is from RNAcentral.
CCGACUAGUUAAUAGGGUAUUUAAAUCACAUAUAUUCUCAAUUCAAUUACAAUUUUUCACAUUUUCAAUUCAAUCAUUUUUCCACCUUUCAAUCAAUAAUUAUUUCACAACUUCACACAUUUUCACAACUCAAUACAUUUCCAUACAAUUUAAUACCAUUCACAAUUCGAUUCAAAUUCAUUUCCCGCUUUUAAUCAACAAACAAUUCAAAUAUUAUUUCAUAUCAACUAUUCAAUUUAAUUCCCACUCAUAAUAAUAAUAAUAAUACUAAUAAUAAUACUAAUACUUACCUCACAUUUCAUUUACUAGACACAUAAAUUAAAAUUUAACAUUU